RNAcentral lists this transfer RNA (77 nucleotides) under Intestinimonas butyriciproducens. RNAcentral describes it as "tRNA-Met". It matches the Rfam family "tRNA". From Rfam's summary of the family: Transfer RNA (tRNA) molecules are approximately 80 nucleotides in length. Their secondary structure includes four short double-helical elements and three loops (D, anti-codon, and T loops). The record is from RNAcentral. RNAcentral also lists the same sequence under 3 other names. Lineage: Bacteria; Bacillati; Bacillota; Clostridia; Eubacteriales.
CGCGGGGUAGAGCAGUUUGGUAGCUCGUCGGGCUCAUAACCCGGAGGUCAGUGGUUCAAAUCCACUCCCCGCAACCA